AUGAAAAAAAACAUUUUAACAUUAACACGGAACGUUUUAUUUAAUCGAAAAUUCUCCAACAUAAUUCCCAAAAAAUAUGAAUUCCGACUCGUCCAAAAAAACUAUUAUAUUACUACCGAUAGUAGUACAGAAAACGUAGAUUUUAAAAUCAAGAACAUAAACUCGUUAAAAUUAAAAAGUAUUAAAAAGAAUAAAAACAGUUUGAAAGAUAAUACUAACAAUACUAACACCCACAACACCAACAGUAAUCACAAUUAUAACAGAGAUGAUGUAUACAUUUUAAAUGGAAAAAUACUAUAUUCACAAAAAAAUAAAAUAGAAAAAAAUGAAUUAAAAAUAAAAACUGCCAUUAAAAAAAUAAAAAAUGUAGACAACGAAAAUAAAUUAUCAAAUAAGAAGUUAAGUGGUAAUUUAAAAAAAAAUAAUUUUACAAAAUUGUUAGAUAAGCAAAUUAAAUCAAGUGGCAGUAUAAACAUAGCACCGAGCAAAUACGAUUAUUAUAAUAUAAACAAAGAGACUGUGGAGACGGGUAGUGGAAAUAAUACUACCGGAACCACUAACACUAACAAUGAUAAAAUUAAUACUAAUACAGCCGAUAAAAUAAAAGGUGACAAAGACGAAACUGCUUUCGUUAUACCCAGUAUAAAUAACUUAAAUGGUAUAUGUAAUGAUAAAAAAGUAGAUAUACGUUUUUUUAAUUUAAGCAAAGAGAAUAAUGAAAAAUUAAAUAAUCAUACUAUGAUAAAUGAAACACACAUAAAUUUUACUAAAGAAACGGAUAAAAAAAAAGAUAAUAAUGAAAUAGGAGGUGCGAAUAAAAAAAUUGAUCAUAAAGAAGAAGACACAGAAAAAAAACAACAAAAUGGUAGUAAGCAAAGUAGUACUAAUAUAUCAAGUAAUAAACAGGAUAAUUCUACUAUUUCAAAUGGUUCAAAUCACAUAUCCCAUAAUACUCACUCAAACAUAAACGACAAUACUAAUAAUAAAAAAAAUGAUGAUAAAGACAAUAAAGAGAAAGAUAGUUGUAUUAAACAAAAUAUAUACGAAAUGAUUGAAGAGAUUAAAACAGAUAAUGAAAAAAAAGAAAUAGAGAAAUUUUUAAAUUCUUUUUUAUUUUAUAAAAGUAAGCAAUCUACGAGUUUAUUAGGAAAUUGUGUAAGUUUUUAUUUUUGUAAUAUGCUAAGUGAAGAAUUAAAAAAUCUAAAAUAUAUUUAUUAUGAUGGAGCAAAAGUAUGUAUAGAUACAUUUUUUAAUACUUUAAGAGAAUUAGAUGAACAUCAAUUAUUUAGAAUAGCAAAUAUCUAUUUAGCUGAUUAUUUUUUAAAAAUAUUUCGAAUUCUAAAAAUGUAUAAUUUAAAUUUUCAUUUUGAUAAUAUAAUAAUAGAAAAUGUGAGAUUAUUAAAUAUAUAUAAUAUAUUGGGACUAAUUAGAAAUGCAGGAAAAAAAACAAAAACAAAAGAAAAACUAAAAAAGUUUUUAUAUCAGCAUAUAUUCGUAGAUAAUAAAGAUCUUAUUGAAUUAAAAAAUAAUAGUAAAAUGGAAUUUGUAUCAAAUAUAAUUAAAAAUGGAGUAGUUACACGUAUGCAUAUAUUAAUAACUAUGUCAUAUCAUAUGAAUAUCUAUAAUACUAUUUUAUCUAAAUAUAUUACAAAAACAAAAUUUAAAAAUGUACAAAUGGAACUUAUAUUAGAAAAUCAAUUAGAAAAUCCUUUGUUUUCUUUAAAUACCUCGGAUACUAUAAACUUAAAGUGUUCAGGUUGGUACUUGGUUGACGUUAAUCAGAUAUUAAAUGGAAACCUACCUUAUGAAUAA
Long non-coding RNA from Piliocolobus tephrosceles (Ugandan red Colobus), 1812 nucleotides. The record is from Ensembl. NCBI's taxonomy places the organism in Eukaryota, Metazoa, Chordata, Mammalia, Primates, Cercopithecidae.